GAUCAUAGCUCAGGAUGAACGCUGGCGGCGUGCCUAAUACAUGCAAGUCGAACGAAUCUCUUUUAGAGAUGAGUGGCGAACGGGUGAGUAAUACAUAGGUAACCUGUCCCUGUGCGGGGGAUAACAGGAGGAAACUCCUGCUAAUACCGCAUAGCCAUGAGCACCGCAUGGAGCUCAUGCCAAAUAUCCUUUAUGGGAUAGCGCAGGGAUGGACCUAUGGCG
This 222-nucleotide ribosomal RNA is filed under the name uncultured bacterium. RNAcentral describes it as "partial 16S ribosomal RNA". It matches the Rfam family "Bacterial small subunit ribosomal RNA", at positions 15 to 238 of the family's 1533-position model. The record is from RNAcentral.